UACAGGGGGUGCAAACGUUGCUCGGAAUUAUUGGGCGUAAAGCGCACGUAGGCGGUCUGUUGCGUCGGCUGUGAAAUCCCGAGGCUCAACCUCGGGUCUGCAGUCGAUACGAGCAAACUAGAGUGUUGCAGGGGAGACUGGAAUUCCUGGUGUAGCGGUGAAAUGCGCAGAUAUCAGGAGGAACACCGAUGGCGAAGGCAGGUCUCUGGGCCACUACUGACGCUGAGAAGCGAAAGCAUGGGGAGCGAACAGG
This 253-nucleotide ribosomal RNA is filed under the name uncultured bacterium. Its description in RNAcentral is "partial 16S ribosomal RNA". It matches the Rfam family "Bacterial small subunit ribosomal RNA", at positions 524 to 776 of the family's 1533-position model. The record is from RNAcentral.